This 844-nucleotide ribosomal RNA is filed under the name uncultured bacterium. RNAcentral describes it as "bacterial SSU rRNA". It matches the Rfam family "Bacterial small subunit ribosomal RNA", at positions 65 to 927 of the family's 1533-position model. The record is from RNAcentral.
GACGGUUCUCUGAUUUCGGUUAGAGAGCAGUGGCGAACGGCUGAGUAACACAAAGGUAACCUACCCUAAAGUGGGGGACAACUCCGAGAAAUCGGAGCUAAUACCGCAUGCCGUUCCUUCAUGAUUUGGGGGAACGAAAGCCUUCGGGCGCUUAAGGAGGGGCCUUUGUCCUAUCAGGUAGUUGGUAGGGUAAUAGCCUACCAAGCCAAAGACGGGUAGCUGGUCUGAGAGGAUGAUCAGCCAGACGGGGAAUGAGAGACGACCCCGACUCCUACGGGAGGCAGCAGCAAGGAAUAUUGCGCAAUGGGCGAAAGCCUGACGCAGCGACGCCGCGUGGGGGAUGAAGGCCUUAGGGUUGUAAACCCCUUUUCUUGGUGAAGAGUAAGGACGGUAAUCAAGGAAUAAGCCUCGGCUAACUACGUGCCAGCAGCCGCGGUAAUACGUAGGAGGCAAGCGUUAUCCGGAAUUACUGGGCGUAAAGGGCGUGUAGGCGGCCCCCUAAGUUGGCAGUGAAAGCUCCCGGCUUAACUGGGAGAGGUCUGCCAAGACUGAGGGGCUAGAGGACAGCAGAGGAAGGUGGAAUUCCCGGUGUAGCGGUGACAUGCGUAGAUAUCGGGAGGAACACCAGUGGCGAAGGCGGCCUUCUGGGCUGUUUCUGACGCUGAGGCGCGAAAGCGUGGGGAGCGAAGUGGAUUAGAUACCCACGUAGUCCACGCUGUAAACGGUGGACACUUGGUAUGGGGGGUAUCGACCCUCUCUGUGCCGAAGCUAACGCUUUAAGUGUCCCGCCUGGGAACUACGGUCGCAAGACUAAAACUCAAAGGAAUUGACGGGGGCCCGCACA